GGAGGGUUGCGAUAAUGGUAUUCGGCUGGUCCUGAAAACCAGUGUCCUUCGGGACUUGCAGGUUCGAGUCCUGCACCCUCCG
RNAcentral lists this transfer RNA (82 nucleotides) under Patescibacteria group bacterium. RNAcentral describes it as "tRNA-Ser". It matches the Rfam family "tRNA". From Rfam's summary of the family: Transfer RNA (tRNA) molecules are approximately 80 nucleotides in length. Their secondary structure includes four short double-helical elements and three loops (D, anti-codon, and T loops). RNAcentral also lists the same sequence under 1 other name. The record is from RNAcentral.